This 484-nucleotide ribosomal RNA is filed under the name uncultured bacterium. Its description in RNAcentral is "partial 16S ribosomal RNA". It matches the Rfam family "Bacterial small subunit ribosomal RNA", at positions 30 to 507 of the family's 1533-position model. The record is from RNAcentral.
AUUGAACGCUGGCGGCAGGCCUAACACAUGCAAGUCGAGCGGAUGAAGGGAGCUUGCUCCUGGAUUCAGCGGCGGACGGGUGAGUAAUGCCUAGGAAUCUGCCUGGUAGUGGGGGAUAACGUCCGGAAACGGGCGCUAAUACCGCAUACGUCCUGAGGGAGAAAGUGGGGGAUCUUCGGACCUCACGCUAUCAGAUGAGCCUAGGUCGGAUUAGUUAGUUGGUGGGGUAAAGGCCUACCAAGGCGACGAUCCGUAACUGGUCUGCGAGGAUGAUCAGUCACACUGGAACUGAGACACGGUCCAGACUCCUACGGGAGGCAGCAGUGGGGAAUAUUGGACAAUGGGCGAAAGCCUGAUCCAGCCAUGCCGCGUGUGUGAAGAAGGUCUUCGGAUUGUAAAGCACUUUAAGUUGGGAGGAAGGGCAGUAAGUUAAUACCUUGCUGUUUUGACGUUACCAACAGAAUAAGCACCGGCUAACUUCGUG